RNAcentral lists this ribosomal RNA (202 nucleotides) under uncultured Enterobacteriaceae bacterium. RNAcentral's name for it is "partial 16S ribosomal RNA". It matches the Rfam family "Bacterial small subunit ribosomal RNA", at positions 325 to 521 of the family's 1533-position model. Lineage: Bacteria; Pseudomonadati; Pseudomonadota; Gammaproteobacteria; Enterobacterales; Enterobacteriaceae. The record is from RNAcentral.
GCCGGGCGGGGCCUACGGGAGGCAGCAGUGGGGAAUAUUGCACAAUGGGCGCAAGCCUGAUGCAGCCAUGCCGCGUGUAUGAAGAAGGCCUUCGGGUUGUAAAGUACUUUCAGCGGGGAGGAAGGGAGUAAAGUUAAUACCUUUGCUCAUUGACGUUACCCGCAGAAGAAGCACCGGCUAACUCCGUGCCAGCAGCCGCGGU